ACUCCUACGGGAGGCAGCAGUGGGGAAUAUUGCACAAUGGGCGCAAGCCUGAUGCAGCCAUGCCGCGUGUAUGAAGAAGGCCUUCGGGUUGUAAAGUACUUUCAGCAGUGAGGAAGGUGGGUAUGUUAAUAGCAUACUCAUUUGUACGUUAGCUGCAGAAGAAGCACCGGCUAACUCCGUGCCAGCAGCCGCGGUAAGUACGGAGGGUGCGAGCGUUAAUCGGAAUUACUGGGCGUAAAGCGCAUGCAGGUGGUUUGUUAAGUCAGAUGUGAAACGCCCGGGGCUCAACCUCGGAAUUGCAUUUGAAACUGGCAAACUAGAGUACUGUAGAGGGGGUAGAAUUUCAGGUGUAGCGGUGAAAUGCGUAGAGAUCUGAAGGAUACCGGUGGCGAAGGCGGCCCCUGGACAGAUACUGACACUCAGAUGCGAAAGCGUGGGAGCAAACAGGAUUAGAUACCCCUGGUAGACUGUCA
This 473-nucleotide ribosomal RNA is filed under the name uncultured bacterium. RNAcentral describes it as "bacterial SSU rRNA". It matches the Rfam family "Bacterial small subunit ribosomal RNA", at positions 335 to 802 of the family's 1533-position model. The record is from RNAcentral.